RNAcentral lists this ribosomal RNA (586 nucleotides) under uncultured bacterium. Its description in RNAcentral is "partial 16S ribosomal RNA". It matches the Rfam family "Bacterial small subunit ribosomal RNA", at positions 355 to 1375 of the family's 1533-position model. The record is from RNAcentral.
UGGGGAAUUUUGGACAAUGGGCGAAAGCCUGAUCCAGCAAUGCCGCGUGUGUGAAGAAGGCCUUCGGGUUGUAAAGCACUUUUGUCCGGAAAGAAAUCCUUGGCUCUAAUACAGUCGGGGGAUGACGGUACCGGAAGAAUAAGCACCGGCUAACUACGUGCCAGCAGCCGCGGUAAUACGUAGGGUGCAAGCGUUAAUCGGAAUUACUGGGCGUAAAGCGUGCGCAGGCGGUUUGCUAAGACCGAUGUGAAAUCCCCGGGCUCAACCUGGGAACUGCAUUGGUGACUGGCAGGCUAGAGUAUGGCAGAGGGGGGUAGAAUUCCACGUGUAGCAGUGAAAUGCGUAGAGAUGUGGAGGAAUACCGAUGGCGAAGGCAGCCCCCUGGGCCAAUACUGACGCUCAUGCACGAAAAGCGUGGGGAGCAAAACAGGAUUAGAUACCCUGGUAGUCCACGCCCUAAACGAUGUCAACUAGUUGUUGGGGAUUCAUUCCUUAGUAACGUAGCUAACGCGUGAAGUUGACCGCCUGGGGAGUACGGUCGCAAGAUUAAAACUCAAAUGAAUUGACGGGGUCAUAGCUGUUUCCU